Molecule: ribosomal RNA, 254 nt
Filed under: uncultured bacterium
Lineage: Bacteria
Description: partial 16S ribosomal RNA
Rfam family: Bacterial small subunit ribosomal RNA
Source: RNAcentral
UACGUAGGGUGCGAGCGUUGUCCGGAAUUAUUGGGCGUAAAGAGCUCGUAGGCGGUGUGUCGCGUCGGCCGUGAAAACCUGCAGCUUAACUGUGGGCUUGCGGUCGAUACGGGCAUCACUGGAGUUCGGCAGGGGAGACUGGAAUUCCUGGUGUAGCGGUGAAAUGCGUAGAUAUCGAGAGGAACACCUGCGGCGAAGGCGGGUUGCUGGGCCGACACUGACGCUGAUGCGCGAAAGCCAGGGGAGCAAACGGG